This 1084-nucleotide long non-coding RNA is filed under the name Lactuca sativa (garden lettuce). Its description in RNAcentral is "long non-coding RNA (LSAT_LNC006142)". Lineage: Eukaryota; Viridiplantae; Streptophyta; Magnoliopsida; Asterales; Asteraceae. The record is from RNAcentral.
AGUCCAUCACAAUAGGCACAUUGUCAAUUUAGGGAAGAAAGUUUAAAGGGAUAAACCAGACUCCUCAUCCUCGUCAAGGCUACCGGUGUACACAAAGUAAAGUGUCCAAAUCAAACCAAAGACGCCAAAAAGGAUCCACCCGAGAAGGUUGUUGCUUAGACCAAAGGGUAGCCCAGUUCCUUCUGUGCUCAUUCUUUCGUCUACUAGCGCCAUGGCAGCUGGGCUCGACAUGGUUGCAGCUACAGCUGCAGCCAUCAAUGAUGAUGCACCCAAACUCAAUUUGUGUGGAACAUCAUUGGAUGCGAGAGUUGGCUUUCCUUCCAUGGAGCACCUCACUUUUCCCAUCUUGCUCAUUGAUGGCAACCCUAAUCGAUAUUAACAGCUUUUAUUGGUCAGGUACUAAACUUGCAAUUUACCCUAAACUACAAGGACAGCUUGUGUAGUUUACUCUAUUUUCUAUUUUCUUGUCCCAAUAAGCAUUUUUUUAAUGUUCGACAAAAACUCGAAUCUUUUCAAGGAUUUUUAGAUUAUUAGGUGUCAAAUUAAUCGGAUUUGAACAAAACAAGUAAUAUGUUACUAUAACUCUAUAAGCUACCAAGCUCAAUGACAAUUUUUCUGAUAGUUCCAUAUCAUCAACCAAUUUGUUUCUUGGUAUUUCACCUCCAAUGUUAAUACCUACAUGUCUAUCAAUUUCAUAAUCACUUGUACACAAAUAGCAUCAGAUCUAAAACAUAACGAGAAUCAGAAACUAUGAGUGGUUAAUCAUUAAUGAUAGCUGAUAAGAUUCAUCAAUCUAUCACUUAUAAGACAAUUAAUUCACAAUUAGCAUUGGAUUCUAAUGGUGCUUGAUGAUAAAACUCACUGAAUUUAGAACGUACCGAGAAUGGGGGAACUGCGGGUAGUGAUUGAAGGUUUUUGGAGAAGAGAGAAUGAAGGUGAGGAGGUAGAAAUGGAAGCGGAAAUGGAUGCCAUCUUCGUAUUCUUCUUCUUCUCUUGAUUUGCAGGAACUUCAAGGUUCGGAAAUGGAGACCUCAAUUCAAAAAUUGAGGGUUUCAGUUUGUGUUUUUAUAUAAAAGUAUAUAUG